Long non-coding RNA from Homo sapiens (human), 400 nucleotides. Ensembl annotates it as GRK5 intronic transcript 1. Its record names the gene GRK5-IT1. The record is from Ensembl. NCBI's taxonomy places the organism in Eukaryota, Metazoa, Chordata, Mammalia, Primates, Hominidae.
AGAAUUAUCAAAGGAUGGCUGUACAGACCACCUAGAAAAUAAUUCAGUAUUUCAGGUUUUUCUUUUCUGGGAGUGUGAUAACUGAAAUUGUUAGAUUUUGGCUCAGUUAAGAAAAGAAAGAUCUGUUGCCUUUCUUCUGAGUGAACAGUGGUGAGAAAAAAUUUUGCAAGGCCCCGCUUUUCCUUUCUUCACAGGCCAGCAGUAGCCAUAUCUGAUCAAAAAAGAUACCUGAAGGAAUAUUGAUCACAUUUUCCUGAGGCCCUAGCAAGCACAGGAAUUGAGAAGUUAGGACUGGAACAACUUUGUCAUUUGUCACAAUUGCCAAACAUUAGAAUACACAGGAACCGUUUUUUCAGGUAACUCUGUGACUUGGCUGGAUCUUCCUGAUCAUCAAGAUUAG